Bos taurus (domestic cattle) is the source of this 1328-nucleotide long non-coding RNA. Lineage: Eukaryota; Metazoa; Chordata; Mammalia; Artiodactyla; Bovidae. The record is from Ensembl.
CCGUCUUAGUUAAAAGUAUCUCAAAAAAAAAAAAAAAAAUAGUCCAUCUUCCCAGCCUCUACUCUAUCUGCACAGUACACUGUAACAAGUCUUUUGCUCUUCAGUAAUCAGGAUAAAUAAUCUUAGUUGCUGUAACAAACGACCCGCAAACUCAGUGGCUUAGCACCAGAGUCCACUGUGGGAGAGAGGAAGCGCUCUGUCCCAUGCAACAUUCAGAAUUUUCUACUAACUACUUAACUGUAUGUAACUAUGAUAAUAGAUAAGGCAAGAAGAGUGUGUCAAUAAUUUCACAGAUUUUAGGAGCCAGACCUUGAAGUGGCAUACAUCAUUUCUGCCUAUACUUCUCACCUAACUACUGAGUAGAUUGGAAUAUAAUCUGGCUGCCCAAGAGCAAAAGGAAUGGAUUUGUGAAUGUAAAUUCACCUCUCUGCUACAUGUCCCUCCUGAGAAACUCAAUGACCAUUUCCCAUAAUUUAAUAGGACCACUCAGUUAUAUUUAUUAUAACAAUAUCAGUUAUAUUGACUGUGUUGACCUCUCAUUCCAUCAUUCUCAUGUGUGAGGCUACAGUCUUCCAAUUCUCUUCUCCUUUAUGUUUUAUUUAUAUAACUAGCACAUGACACCACAUGCCAGACUCUAAUUGCUUUGUAAAUAUUAACUGGUUUAGUCUUCAUCACAAUAAACUAUGUACUUUUAUUCAACCCAUUUUACAGAUGAGAAAAUUGAGUUACAAAGAGUUUAAACAACUUGUCCAAGAUCACACAAUUAGUAGGUGGCAGGGGCCAGGUUUUUAAUCCAGUCAGUCUUAUCACCGCACUAUGCUGCCUUUUUUCUGUUUCUUCUGCUUCUCUUCCUUUAUCACUCCCCCGCGGCUGAUAACCUUCAGUUGGUUUACAAGCCCCUCCUCUCACAUUUUGUGCUUCUGAAUAAAGAAAGAAUUGUCGGCCCCCGGAAGACCCCACGCUGUGUCUCUCCUCCGUGCUUUUGCUCUUGGAGAAGGUCUCACUGGCUCACUGCAAUGCCCUUCCCAUCGCUCUUGAAGACACUGCUCAAGUGUCACCGCCUCCAAAAGCCUUCCAUACGUUCCCAAGUUGAAGAGCCUCCUUCCCAUCUUCUGUGCUAACAAAGGCGGGCAUUUACCAUCACAAGUCCCGGAAGGCUCUGCUUCCGGGUUCACCUGCUUCACCAGUCAGUGAGCCCAGGAGGGGCCAGUCCAUUCUGCUUUUCACCGCCAUCCUCUCCUACCCCAAGUAGGACGGCAGUAGGAGAGACCCCUCCUAGAGGACCGAAGGCCCGCAGCUCCGAGGGCUUAGCCCCGCCCCCUCGCCUG